Molecule: ribosomal RNA, 433 nt
Filed under: uncultured bacterium
Lineage: Bacteria
Description: partial 16S ribosomal RNA
Rfam family: Bacterial small subunit ribosomal RNA
Source: RNAcentral
AACGAACGCUGGCGGCAUGCCUAACACAUGCAAGUCGAACGAGACCUUCGGGUCUAGUGGCGCACGUGUGCGUAACGCGUGGGAACCUGCCCUUAGGUUCGGUAUACCUCCCCGAAAGGGGUGCUAAUACCGGAUAAUGUCUUCGGACCAAAGAUUUAUCGCCUUUGGAUGGGCCCGCGUUGGAUUAGCUAGUUGGUAGGGUAAAAGCCUACCAAGGCGACGAUGCAUAGCUGGUCUGAGAGGAGGAUCAGCGACACUGGGACUGAGACACGGCCCAGACUCCUACGGGAGGGAGCAGUGGGGAAUAGUGGACAAGGGGCGAAAGUCUGAUCAAGCAAUGCCGCGUGAGUGAUGAAGGCGUUAGGGUUGUAAAGCUCUUUUACCCGGGAUGAUAAUGACAGUACCGGGAGAAUAAGCACCGGCUAACUCCGUG